CUUGUCUAAACAGAGGAGGUGAGCUGCUUCUCCCUGGGCCUGUCUAAACAGAGAGGGUGAGCUGCUUCUCCCUGGGCCUGUCUAAACAGAGGAGGUGAGCUGCUUCUCCCUGGGCCUGUCUAAACAGAGGGGGUGAGCUGCUUCUCCCUGGGCUUGUCUAAACAGAGGAGGUGAGCUGCUUCUCCCUGGGCCUGUCUAAAGAGAGGGGGUGAGCUGCUUCUCCCUGGGCCUGUCUAAACAGAGGAGGUGAGCUGCUUCUCCCUGGACCUGUCUAAACAGAGGAGGUGAGCUGCUUCUCCCUGGGCCUGUCUAAACAGAGGAGGUGAGCUGCUUCUCCCUGGGCCUGUCUAAACAGAGGAGGUGAGCUGCUUCUCCCUCGGCCUGUCUAAACAGAGGAGGUGAGCUGCUUCUCCCUGGGCCUGUCUAAACAGAGGAGGUGAGCUGCUUCUCCCUGGGCCUGUCUAAACAGAGGAGGUGAGCUGCUUCUCCCUGGGCCUGUUUACAGGAGCAAUAGUCAGUCCACCACCAAAAGGCUUAGCAGGAGGCUGCCUGUUUACAGGUACAGUAGUCAGUCCACCACCAAAAGGCUUAGCAGGAGGCUGCCUGUUUACAGGUACAGUAGUCAGUCCACCACCAAAAGGCUUGGCAGGAGGCUGCCUGUUUACAGGUACAGUAGUCAGUCCACCACCAAUAGGCUUGGCAGGAGGCUGCCUGUUUACAGGUGCAGUAGUCAGUCCACCACCAAUAGGCUUGGCAGGAGGCUGCCUGUUUACAGGAACAGUAGUCAGUCCACCACCAAUAGGCUUGGCAGGAGGCUGCCUGUUUACAGGAGCAGUAGUCAGUCCACCACCAAUAGGCUUGGCAGGAGGCUGCCUGUUUACAGGAACAGUAGUCAGUCCACCACCAAUAGGCUUGGCAGGAGGCUGCCUGUUUACAGGAACAGUAGUCAGUCCACCACCAAUAGGCUUGGCAGGAGGCUGCCUGUUUACAGGUGCAGUAGUCAGUCUACCACCAAAAGGCUUGGCAGGAGGCUGCCUGUUUACAGGUGCAGUAGUCAGUCCACCACCAAUAGGCUUGGCAGGAGGCUGCCUGUUUACAGGAACAGUAGUCAGUCCACUUGCUUUGGCAAUGUUAACAUAUGUUUCCCAUGCCAAUAAAGCCCCUUGAAUUGAAUUGAUAGGGAAUAAGAGAGUGACAGAGAGAGAGAGAGAUAAAUCAUUUGUGUGGUUAAACAUUUAUAACAUCUAUAACAAGACUACAUGUUGUGUCUGUAAUAAGGCUAAUGUAGAGGACCAUGUGAAAUAUUUAUCUGAUGCUGUGAAUAUGCCUCUCUCUCUGUCUUUAGCUCUCUCCCUCUGUAUCUCUCCCUCUCUCUCUCUGUCUCUCUCCCUCUCUCUCUGUCUCUAGCUCUGUCUCUGUCUCUCUCCCUCUCUCUCUCUGUCUCUCUCCCGCUUUCUGUCUAGCUCCUUCUCUUUCUCUCUGUCUCUCUGUCUGUCUCUAGCUCUCUCUCUGUCUCUGUCUCUCUCUCUUUCUGUCUAUCUCUCUCUCUGUCUGUCUAUAUCUCUGUGUCUCUGGCUCUCUCUCAGUCUCUAGCGCUCUCUCUGUCUUUCUCUCUCUCUGUCUGUCUCUCUCUCUUUCUGUCUAUCUCUCUCUCUGUCUGUCUAUAUCUCUGUAUGUCUCUGGCUCUCUCUCAGUCUCUAGCGCUCUCUCUGUCUUUCUCUCUCUCUGUCUCUAGGUCUCUCUCUCAGUCUCUCUGUUUAUUUCUUUUUCUCUCUCUGUCUCUCAGUCUCUCUGUUUCUCUCCCGCUCUCUCUGUCUCUACCUCUCUCUCCCUCUCGCUCUCCGUCUCUCUGUCUCCUUCUCUAUGUCUCUAGCUAUCUCUGUCUCUAUCUCUUUCUCUCUCUAGCUCUCUCUGUCUCUGUCUCUCUCUCUCUCUCUCCCUCUCUGUCUCUCUGUCUCGCUCCCUCUGUCUCUCACUCUGUCUCUAGCUCUCUCUGUAUCUCUCUCUAUCUCUAGCUCUGUCUCUGUCUCUAUUGCUCUCUUCUCUCUCUGUCUCUCUCUCUAUCUCUGUAUGUCUAGCUCUCUCUCUAGUGCUUUCUCUCAAUUUCAAUUAAAUUCAAUUGAAGGG
RNAcentral lists this long non-coding RNA (2127 nucleotides) under Salmo salar (Atlantic salmon). RNAcentral's name for it is "lncRNA (ENSSSAG00000098603.1)". The record is from RNAcentral. Lineage: Eukaryota; Metazoa; Chordata; Actinopteri; Salmoniformes; Salmonidae.